AUUGAACGCUGGCGGCAGGCCUAACACAUGCAAGUCGAGCGGCAGCGGAAAGUAGCUUGCUACUUUGCCGGCGAGCGGCGGACGGGUGAGUAAUGUCUGGGGAUCUGCCUGAUGGAGGGGGAUAACUACUGGAAACGGUAGCUAAUACCGCAUAACGUCGCAAGACCAAAGCGGGGGACCUUCUGGCCUCGCGCCAUCAGAUGAACCCAGAUGGGAUUAGCUAGUAGGUGGGGUAAUGGCUCACCUAGGCGACGAUCCCUAUCUGGUCUGAGAGAAUGACCAGCCACACUGGAGCUGAGACACGGUCCAGAGUCCUACGGGAGGCAGCAGUGGGGAAUAUUGCACAAUGGGCGCAAGCCUGAUGCAGCCAUGCCGCGUGUAUGAAGAAGGCCUUCGGGUUGUAAAGUACUUUCAGCGAGGAGGAAGGCGGUAAGGUUAAUAACCUUACUGAUUGACGUUACUCGCAGAAGAAGCACCGGCUAACUCCGUG
RNAcentral lists this ribosomal RNA (490 nucleotides) under uncultured bacterium. RNAcentral's name for it is "partial 16S ribosomal RNA". It matches the Rfam family "Bacterial small subunit ribosomal RNA", at positions 30 to 507 of the family's 1533-position model. The record is from RNAcentral.